Molecule: long non-coding RNA, 1899 nt
Organism: Prionailurus viverrinus (fishing cat)
Lineage: Eukaryota; Metazoa; Chordata; Mammalia; Carnivora; Felidae
Exons: 3
Source: RefSeq, a predicted model, not a curated record
GGGAGGCAGUCCCGGCUGCCAAAUUUGCUGCUCCGGAAAGUUUGUGUGUGGUGUUUUGGUUUCUGCUUGAGGAGGAGUCAUUUUUUAAGAUCGCUCAGGGAAACAAUGAGAUUUAUUUGUAUGAAUCCUGAGUGGCCAUUGUCUUGGCUUCUUAACUAUGGAUUCUAUGGCUCAGAUGCUCUAACAUAAACAAAGUGCCUUUCAUGCCAUCUUUGAGUCAUAAACGCAGCUUCAGAUUUGAGGUCAUUAUUGUGCAUUUGAAAGUAGCCUUCGCCUUGUGAAAAGCUUCAGGACAAAGAGCAGCAUUAUAUGCGCAAAUUCAGAUGAGAUGCGUUUUUGGUCAUGUUUAAUGAUGAUUUUUAUUUAGAGGAAAUUUAAAGUUGUGGGCCUACUUUAGACUCGGAAGGGAGGAGACCAGCUAAGGGCAUGUACCCAGGACAGUGAAGGCCCCAUGGGGAGAGUCCCCAGCACAGUUUUCUGAAGCAAAGUCUCUGCCUAUUCUAAGGCAAAGACGGGUUUUCACUCUGAUGACGGCAAACACUCCUCAGUCCUUAUAAAAUGUCUUGGUGAAUUUAAACUUGCCGGGAAGUAUUUUACCCAGGAAACUGAGGUGGUAGUGACUGAUAAUGCUUGGGGGCCAAGAGCUGGCUGAGACUGGACAGGGCCAUGGAAAAAUAGGGGAUGCCACUGGAGAAAUCCCCAAGGACACACAAGGGUGGGAAAGGUAGGGAUGGGCACCAGAAGGCACUGACCCUGAGCUAGGCUCAGCUGUACAGGAUUCCUGGAUAAGAUGGCUUUGGCGAAGGCACGCCGGUCUGGUGGCCUGAAAUUUUCUGGCCAGUCCCAGGACUGGGCUUUUGGGACUACACUGUACAGGACUACACUGGGCUGCCCAAAGCAGUCCUCAGCUAAGCUGGACUAAACCAGAUUGAGCUGGCAUUUCUGAGAUGAGCUUGGGCUGAGCUGAACCGGGCUGAGCUAGGCUGAAUUUAGCUGCACUGAGCUGGCCUGAACUGGGCUGAGCUGGGCUGAACUGGGCUGAACUGGGCUGGGCUGAACCGGGCUGAGCUGGGCUGAGUUGGGCUGGGCUGGGCUGGGCUGAGCUUAACUGGGCUGAACUGGCCUGGGCUGAGCUGAACCGGGCUGAGCUGGGCUGAGCUGGGCUAAACCGGGCUGAACUGAGCUGAGCUGGGCUGAGCUGGGCUGAGCUGGGCUAGGUUGAACUAAACCGGGCUGGGCUGGGCUGGGCUGAGCUGAGCUGAGCUGAGCUGGGCUGGGUUGAGCUAAACCGGGCUGGGAUGGGCUGAGCUGAGCUGGGCUAGGUUAAGCUAAACCGGGCUGAGCUGAGCUGAGCUGGGCUGGGCUAGGUUGAGCUAAACCGGGCUGAGCUGAGCUGAGCUGGGCUGGGCUAGGUUGAGCUAAACCGGGCUGAGCUGAGCCGGGCUGGGCUGAGCUGAGCUGAGCUGAGCUGGGCUAGGCUGGGUUAGGUUGAGCUAAACCGGGCUGGGCUGGGCUGGGCUGAGCUGAGCCGGGCUGGGCUGGGCUGGGCUGGGCUGAGCUGAGCCGGGCUGGGCUGGGCUGGGCUGGGCUGGGCUGCGCUGAGCUGAGCUGGGCUGGGCUAGGUUGAGCUAAACCGGGCUGAGCUGAGCCGGGCUGGGCUGAGCUGAGCUGAGCUGAGCUGAGCUGGGUUGGGCUGGGCUGGGCUGAGCUGAGCCGGGCUGGGCUAGGUUGAACUAAACCGAGCUGGGCUGGGCUGAGCUGAGCUUAGCACUGGGCUGAGCUGUGCUGAACUGGACUGGGCUGAGCUGAGCUGAGCUGAGCUGGGCUGAGCUAGGCUGAGCUAGGCUGAGCUGAGCUGGGCUAGGUUGAGCUAAACCAGGCUGGGCUGGGCUGAGCAUA